AUUGAACGCUAGCGGGAUGCCUUACACAUGCAAGUCGAACGGCAGCACGGACUUCGGUCUGGUGGCGAGUGGCGAACGGGUGAGUAAUGUAUCGGAACGUGCCCAGUAGCGGGGGAUAACUACGCGAAAGCGUAGCUAAUACCGCAUACGCCCUACGGGGGAAAGCAGGGGAUCGCAAGACCUUGCACUAUUGGAGCGGCCGAUAUCGGAUUAGCUAGUUGGUGGGGUAACGGCUCACCAAGGCGACGAUCCGUAGCUGGUUUGAGAGGACGACCAGCCACACUGGGACUGAGACACGGCCCAGACUCCUACGGGAGGCAGCAGUGGGGAAUUUUGGACAAUGGGGGAAACCCUGAUCCAGCCAUCCCGCGUGUGCGAUGAAGGCCUUUCGGGUUGUAAAGCACUUUUGGCAGGAAAGAAACGUCAUGGGUUAAUACCCCGUGAAACUGACGGUACCUGCAGAAUAAGCACCGCUAAUAAC
This 481-nucleotide ribosomal RNA is filed under the name Achromobacter xylosoxidans. RNAcentral describes it as "bacterial SSU rRNA". It matches the Rfam family "Bacterial small subunit ribosomal RNA", at positions 30 to 504 of the family's 1533-position model. Lineage: Bacteria; Pseudomonadati; Pseudomonadota; Betaproteobacteria; Burkholderiales; Alcaligenaceae. The record is from RNAcentral.